UAUUUGGCUUUAUGUAGGUUGUUGCCAUUUUUUCCACUAUGCAGUUUGUAUUUUUGUCUCAUAAUGACAUGGUGCUCGCUUUGUCCAAAACCUCCAUCCAGUAAAAUGGCCCUAAUGCUCCACCCACACAGAGUUACGUGAAUGUUCUCUGCACUUGAAUGUAGGACCUCUUACCCUCCUCACAUCUAACAACCAAAAGACUUCACUUACCAGGUGAGCUGUGUAAAGCUGAGGUGUAAACACACAGACCAUGUCCAGACUGACCGCAGCAUGUUUUGUGUUGGUUCUAGUCGGGUGCAUCAGGGCACAGUUAAGCCACUCCACAGAGUGGGAGAUUGUCCGAAAAACCCGGAGCAAGCGCAUCUCCUGUAAUGUGGACGACGCCUUUUCUCUGAGCUCAUAUGCUCUUCACUGGUACAGACAGAGACCUGGAGAAGGUCUGCGCCGCAUUCUGUACUUUGGAGCAGGCAGUUCAAGCCCCACUGCUGAAGCUGAUUUUUCUAGCAGGUUUAAUGGAGCCAAAAAAGAGCAAACGACUUAUCUGACCAUUACUAACGCGAGAGAUGAGGACACGGCCACGUAUUACUGUGCCCUGUGGAAGGAUGGCACUGUUACUCAGAGACUGAGAACAUCUGCACAAAUACCAAGGUUUCCUGAUACUGCUUAUUUACAACCACAAACCGUGUGGCAGAAAUGAACUAAAAUAAAUAGUUGUAGAAAA
Trichomycterus rosablanca is the source of this 721-nucleotide non-coding RNA. NCBI's taxonomy places the organism in Eukaryota, Metazoa, Chordata, Actinopteri, Siluriformes, Trichomycteridae. The record is from the annotation of a RefSeq genome assembly.